AUGAAGUCUGUAAGAGGGAGAGAUGAAGGUUCUAUCGAUGUUUUUGAGAGAUUGAGACAGACCGAGAAAUGGAUGAAGGUUGGUGGUGGUGUCUCCACCGUAACCAAUUCUGGUGCCUUCUUUUCUCCAGUCGCCUUUAGGUUCCAUCUUUUGAAACGAUUCACAGUAGAAGCAGAGACAAAAAUUGAAUUUGAGGAGAGUUUAGAGGAAUCUGAAGGUCAAACAGAGACAUUAAGAUGCUGGCGGUUCACAAUGAGGUUGAAUCGAAAGAGAAUAAGACGAGCGACGCGCCAUUGA
Vicia faba (fava bean) is the source of this 297-nucleotide non-coding RNA. The record is from the annotation of a GenBank genome assembly. NCBI's taxonomy places the organism in Eukaryota, Viridiplantae, Streptophyta, Magnoliopsida, Fabales, Fabaceae.